Molecule: microRNA, 22 nt
Filed under: Malus domestica (apple)
Lineage: Eukaryota; Viridiplantae; Streptophyta; Magnoliopsida; Rosales; Rosaceae
Also listed under: 1 other name
Description: mdm-miR167j
Gene: mdm-miR167h
Source: miRBase by way of RNAcentral
UGAAGCUGCCAGCAUGAUCUUA